AUGCACAUGAAGAAUUAACUCGGAUUCCCCUUCAGACAGCAUGGAUGAUGCAAAAUCGAGUUUUCUGAUGCA
RNAcentral lists this small nucleolar RNA (72 nucleotides) under Eucalyptus grandis. Its description in RNAcentral is "Small nucleolar RNA snoR60". It matches the Rfam family "Small nucleolar RNA snoR60". Rfam says of the family: snoR60 is a member of the C/D class of snoRNA which contain the C (UGAUGA) and D (CUGA) box motifs. Lineage: Eukaryota; Viridiplantae; Streptophyta; Magnoliopsida; Myrtales; Myrtaceae. The record is from Rfam by way of RNAcentral.